CUUACCGGGUCCGGACACACUGAGGAUUGACAGGCAAAAGAUACAAGUUUUCUUUGUGAGAGCUUGCACUGUAAAAUAUGCGAGUCCUUUCAUGAUUAUGUGAUAGGUGGUGCAUGGCCGUUCUUAGUUCGUGGAGUGAUCUGUCUGCUUAAUUGCGUUUCACAACGAUUUAAAAUGCUAUGUUUUCUGUGUUUGCUGUUCGGUUUUAGCUCUUACGGGAGUUUUUAACUUUGAACGCACACGGCGUAGCUUAAAACAAUCGGAAAGCAACGAACGUGACCGCAACCUCUUGUCGCCUUUAUUUUUAAAAGCGUAGAAAAUUUUAUAUUUUCUUACGCUUGAAAAAGGCUUUAAAACUAGAGGGACCGCUGUUCUAUUCUCUUAAACCAGAGGAAGAUUGCGGCAAUAACAGGUCUGUGAUGCCCUCAGAUGUUCCGGGCUGCACACGUGCUACAAUGAUUGUUGCAGUGAGCAUCUAUUUUCAAACGCUACCGUUGCGGAUUUUGUGAGAAGGGGGCUUGUUUUAAAGCUUUCGGGUGGAGAAGCAGGUUCUUUUUUUCACAAUUUAUUCCGCGUUACGUGUCAGCUAAACCUGCUUCGAAAGCAAGUAGGUAAUCAAUUGGAAGUAACGAUUUCCAUUUUUUGGAAAGCACAACUUUUUGGUUCGUAUGGUACUGCGAAGUUAACGCAGUUUACUGUGUCUUUCUCUCGUCGGUAUUCACACGGAUAUCUGUGCUACUAUUUUUAAAAUUCAAGGUGGGGACAGACCAUUGUUAAUUGUUGGUCUCGUUUUAACUAGGAAUGCCUUGUACGGGUUGGUUCAUCAAACCACCCGGAAUACGUCCCUGCCCUUUGUACACACCGCCCGUCGCUCUUACCGAUGGACUUCUCUGUGAGGUUGAGGGACUGGGUCCUUUGCGACCUACGGAAACUCAUUCGGACAGGGUGGUCUAAGGGAAAGAGAAGUCGUAACAAGGC
This 978-nucleotide ribosomal RNA is filed under the name Micrometula hyalostriata. RNAcentral describes it as "bacterial SSU rRNA". It matches the Rfam family "Eukaryotic small subunit ribosomal RNA", at positions 1214 to 1800 of the family's 1831-position model. Lineage: Eukaryota; Foraminifera; Allogromiidae. The record is from RNAcentral.